GCCAGUUUAGCUCAGUUGGUAGAGCACCCGAUUUGUAAUCGGACGGUCGUCGGUUCAAAUCCGACAACUGGCUCCA
RNAcentral lists this transfer RNA (76 nucleotides) under Verrucomicrobiota bacterium. RNAcentral describes it as "Verrucomicrobia bacterium (soil metagenome) tRNA-Thr". It matches the Rfam family "tRNA". From Rfam's summary of the family: Transfer RNA (tRNA) molecules are approximately 80 nucleotides in length. Their secondary structure includes four short double-helical elements and three loops (D, anti-codon, and T loops). Further hydrogen bonds mediate the characteristic L-shaped molecular structure. tRNAs have two regions of fundamental functional importance: the anti-codon, which is responsible for specific mRNA codon recognition, and the 3' end, to which the tRNAs corresponding amino acid is attached (by aminoacyl-tRNA synthetases). tRNAs cope with the degeneracy of the genetic code in two manners: having more than one tRNA (with a specific anti-codon) for a particular amino acid; and 'wobble' base-pairing, i.e. permitting non-standard base-pairing at the 3rd anti-codon position. Lineage: Bacteria; Pseudomonadati; Verrucomicrobiota. The record is from RNAcentral.